GAUGAACGCUAGCGAGACGCCUAACACAUGCAAGUCGAAUGCUUCGCUUGCGAAGCAUGGCAAACGGGUGCGUAACACGUGCUUAACCUGCCCUGGAGUGGGGGAUACCUGUAGAAAUACAACUAAUCCCGCAUACGCUCAUCAUUAUGAAAAACUGAUGAGGAAAGAUUUAUCGCUCUAGGAGGGGGGCGCGGCCUAUUAGCUAGUUGGUGAGGUAAUAGCUCACCAAGGCAAUGAUGGGUAGCUGGUCUGAGAGGAUGAUCAGCCACAAUGGAACUGAGACACGGUCCAUACCCCUACGGGGGGCAGCAGUGGGGAAUCUUGCGCAAUGGACGAAAGUCUGACGCAGCGAUCUCGCGUGGAGGAUGAAGCAUUAAGGUGUGUAAACUUCUUUUUUGGAGGAAGACGACUGACGGUACUCCAAGAAUAAGGGACGGCUAACUACG
Molecule: ribosomal RNA, 446 nt
Filed under: uncultured bacterium
Lineage: Bacteria
Description: bacterial SSU rRNA
Rfam family: Bacterial small subunit ribosomal RNA
Source: RNAcentral